CGAUAAUAGAGUCGCAGGGUGGUGUCUCCUGCGCCCGUUCUAAACGGGUUCUUCCCAGCCACGG
Molecule: non-coding RNA, 64 nt
Filed under: unclassified sequences
Source: RNAcentral